UACAGAGGGUGCAAGCGUUAAUCGGAAUUACUGGGCGUAAAGCGUGCGUAGACGGUUACAUAAGUCGGGUGUGAAAGCCCCGGGCUCAACCUCGGAUCGGCCGUGGCGACUCGUGGGCUGGAGCACUGUAGAGGCGGGUGGAAUUCCGGGUGUAGCGGUGGAAUGCGUAGAGAUCCGGAAGAACACCAGUGGCGAAGGCGGCUCGCUGGGCAGUGGCUGACGCUGAGGCGCGACAGCGUGGGGAGCAAACAGG
RNAcentral lists this ribosomal RNA (253 nucleotides) under uncultured bacterium. RNAcentral's name for it is "partial 16S ribosomal RNA". It matches the Rfam family "Bacterial small subunit ribosomal RNA", at positions 524 to 776 of the family's 1533-position model. The record is from RNAcentral.